This 207-nucleotide ribosomal RNA is filed under the name uncultured bacterium. Its description in RNAcentral is "partial 16S ribosomal RNA". It matches the Rfam family "Bacterial small subunit ribosomal RNA", at positions 568 to 774 of the family's 1533-position model. The record is from RNAcentral.
CGCGUAGGCGGCUAAGCAAGUCAGAGGUGAAAUCCCUCGGCUCAACCGAGGAACUGCCUCUGAUACUGCUUGGCUUGAGUCCCGGAGAGGGUAGUGGAAUUCCCAGUGUAGCGGUGAAAUGCGUAGAUACUGGGAGGAACACCGGUGGCGAAGGCGGCUACCUGGACGGGUACUGACGCUGAGGCGCGAAAGCGUGGGGAGCAAACA